GACGAACGCUGGCGGCGUGCUUGACACAUGCAAGUCGAACGGAAAGGCCCUGCGUUUGUGGGGUGCUCGAGUGGCGAACGGGUGAGUAACACGUGAGUAACCUGCCCUUAACUUUGGGAUAACUUCAGGAAACUGGGGCUAAUACCGGAUAGAAGCUCCUGCUGCAUGGGGGGGGUUGGAAAGUUUCGGCGGUUGGGGAUGGACUCGCGGCUUAUCAGCUUGUUGUUGGGGUAGUGGCUUACCAAGGCUUUGACGGGUAGCCGGCCUGAGAGGGUGACCGGCCACACUGGGACUGAGAUACGGCCCAGACUCCUACGGGAGGCAGCAGUGGGGAAUAUUGCACAAUGGGCGGCAGCCUGAUGCAGCAACGCCGCGUGCGGGAUGACGGCCUUCGGGUUGUAAACCGAUUUCGCCUGUGACGAAGCGUGAGUGACGGUAAUGGGUAAAGAAGCACCGGCUAACUACGUG
Molecule: ribosomal RNA, 468 nt
Filed under: uncultured bacterium
Lineage: Bacteria
Description: partial 16S ribosomal RNA
Rfam family: Bacterial small subunit ribosomal RNA
Source: RNAcentral